UACGUAGGGGGCAAGCGUUGUCCGGAAUUAUUGGGCGUAAAGAGCGUGUAGGCGGUUCGAUAAGUUUGCUGUAAAAGUCGGGGGCUCAACCCCCGAAAGCCGGUGAAUACUGUCGGACUAGAGUACGGAAGAGGCGAGUGGAAUUCCUGGUGUAGCGGUGAAAUGCGCAGAUAUCAGGAGGAACACCAAUUGCGAAGGCAGCUCGCUGGGACGUGACUGACGCUGAGACGCGAAAGCGUGGGGAGCAAACAGG
RNAcentral lists this ribosomal RNA (253 nucleotides) under uncultured bacterium. RNAcentral describes it as "partial 16S ribosomal RNA". It matches the Rfam family "Bacterial small subunit ribosomal RNA", at positions 524 to 776 of the family's 1533-position model. The record is from RNAcentral.